This 527-nucleotide long non-coding RNA is filed under the name Malus domestica (apple). Its description in RNAcentral is "long non-coding RNA (MDOM_LNC020943)". Lineage: Eukaryota; Viridiplantae; Streptophyta; Magnoliopsida; Rosales; Rosaceae. The record is from RNAcentral.
AUUUUUUUUUUUUUUUUGAAGGGGGGAACUGAAACAUUUGAAAUUUGAAACUCCCUAGUGUUAGAAGUUUGAAGAUUUUCCAUGUGGGGCUUUCUCACGGUUUGAAUUUGAAUUUUGAAUAUCAAUAGCCAUGUUGAGCUAUAUAUAAGAAGGAUAAGUUUCCAUUCUUUACCUUACCUUCAUUUGCUCAUCUUGUAGUGAUUUUUGAAGACAUAGUGCUAUUUACUUGAGAGGGAUUCUGGCAUUGCUUUGCUGCACCAUCUUCAGGUUGGUAGUCUUCUCCACUAGAUCAGAUGUUUUCAUUCUUGUUGAAUUGUUUAAGUGUUCAUGUAUUUUGUUAAGAACAUAAUGAACUGGUUGAGCUUUUUCUGCAUGCCCUAUGAUUCCUUAUGUUUUGAUCCUUCAUGUAGUGAUAGAGUUUGUUUCUGUUUGUUGUAAAUGUCGGAGUCUGGAAGUCUUAGUGAUGAGGGCUCCCCUAGCUCUAACUCUAGGUUUGAGCCUGCCAUGUCAGGGUCUUCAUGGCCUUU